GACGUAGGGUGCAAGCGUUGUCCGGAUUUACUGGGCGUAAAGAGCGCGUAGGCGGUCUUGUAAGUGUGAAGUGAAAUCUCCAGGGCUCAACCCGGAAACUGCUUUGCAUACUGCGAGACUAGAGGGAUGCAGAGGUUUGUGGAAUUCCUGGUGUAGCGGUGAAAUGCGCAGAUAUCAGGAAGAACACCCGUGGCGAAGGCGGCUCUCUGGGACGGUACUGACGCUGAGACGCGAAAGCGUGGGGAGCGAACAGG
Molecule: ribosomal RNA, 254 nt
Filed under: uncultured bacterium
Lineage: Bacteria
Description: partial 16S ribosomal RNA
Rfam family: Bacterial small subunit ribosomal RNA
Source: RNAcentral